Molecule: ribosomal RNA, 445 nt
Filed under: uncultured bacterium
Lineage: Bacteria
Description: partial 16S ribosomal RNA
Rfam family: Bacterial small subunit ribosomal RNA
Source: RNAcentral
GUAAGGAAUAUUGGUCAAUGGACGAAAGUCUGAACCAGCCAUGCCGCGUGAAGGAUGAAGGCCCUCUGGGUUGUAAACUUCUUUUAUCUGGGACGAAAAAAGGGUAUUCUUACUCACUUGACGGUACCAGAGGAAUAAGCACCGGCUAACUCCGUGCCAGCAGCCGCGGUAAUACGGAGGGUGCAAGCGUUAUCCGGAUUCACUGGGUUUAAAGGGUGCGUAGGUGGGUAUUUAAGUCAGUGGUGAAAUCUCCGAGCUUAACUCGGAAACUGCCAUUGAUACUAUUUACCUUGAAUGCCCUGGAGGUAAGCGGAAUAUGUCAUGUAGUGGUGAAAUGCUUAGAUAUGACAUAGAACACCAAUUGCGAAGGCAGCUUACUACGGGGUGAUUGACACUGAGGCACGAAAGCGUGGGGAGCAAACAGGAUUAGAUACCCUUGUAGUCC